GUAAGAGUAUAAAUAUAAUAUUGGAAUGGUAUGCUGAGCAGAGAUCGAGAUAGUGAACAAUCUAGCCAAGUAUUUAGUAUAUAUAUAUAUAUUAAGUUUAGUUGCCUUGAGACAGUUUGUUAUUUUGAUGAUGCCCCACGCGUUUCGGGGACGCCUGAACUGUGUGGUGUGAGGAUUGUGGCUCAGAUUGAAGUGUUAUCUCUGAG
This 206-nucleotide long non-coding RNA is filed under the name Prunus persica (peach). RNAcentral describes it as "long non-coding RNA (PPER_LNC006009)". Lineage: Eukaryota; Viridiplantae; Streptophyta; Magnoliopsida; Rosales; Rosaceae. The record is from RNAcentral.